Molecule: long non-coding RNA, 865 nt
Organism: Lynx canadensis (Canada lynx)
Lineage: Eukaryota; Metazoa; Chordata; Mammalia; Carnivora; Felidae
Exons: 6
Source: RefSeq, a predicted model, not a curated record
CACUUUGGAGCUGGGCUGAGUCACGGGGUGGUUUCUUUUCUGGGGAGAAAGUAUCCAAAGGAAGUGGCAGGGUUAAAGAGCCCCAGCCCCUGGGUGCACCCCGGGGGCUGCCGAGUGUUCGAUGCGGAAGGGCCGAUAGUUAACUACCGUCUCACGCACGGGAUGAAAGCCCCGGUCGGUCUUUCUUUGAUCAAGAGGGUGAAGAAACCGUGAUGCUCAUAUCCGGGGCCGGUCCUCCCUGUGUUCUGUAUUUAGCUACCCUGGUUCCAGGCAGCCAUCAACUCGCUCCUGGUCAAUAUCCACCUGACCUCUAUGACACAGCGCUAACCAAGGUCAUGACUGCGGGCCUGUAUUACUAUUUCACGAAUCUUCGUUGCCCACUGUUCCCACCAGACCGAAAGCUCCUAAGGCAGGCGUUCUGUUUUGCUGGCCAUUGGAUUCCUGGCAUAGAUGGAUACCUGGCACUUGCCUGACCCAUGUUAAUAUCCAUCGAAUGUGCACCAGUGAUCUGCCGUGAGCCAGGCAUUGGCAAAGCAGGGACGGGGCAGGCAGAGAGAACUUCGCUCUCAAGGGGCACACGUUGCCCUUGUGUGAACUCGUGACCUUCUGAUCUUGUGGAGUCUCAGAAAACCAGAAGCUUCUUUUCCUGGGUCAACAGGAAGUGACCUCAGCACGCUUGUAGUUCAUCUUUUUAAUACGGAUUAAUUUCCCUGACGUGUAGUUUCCCCUUUAUCUCAAGCAAAAAUUGAGCAAUUUUGCUCUCCGUGUAAUCACUGCAGGCCUCCCACAUAUUGUCUAUUUCCCCAAGGCUCUGUUAUCACAACAGUGUGGAAUUGAAUAAAUUUCGGCACAUGGCCCUAAAGGA